GGUUAAGCGACUAAGCGUACACGGUGGAUGCCCUGGCAGUCAGAGGCGAUGAAGGACGUGCUAAUCUGCGAAAAGCGUCGGUAAGGUGAUAUGAACCGUUAUAACCGGCGAUGUCCGAAUGGGGAAACCCAGUGCAAUUCGUUGCACUAUCGUUAACUGAAUACAUAGGUUAACGAGGCGAACCGGGGGAACUGAAACAUCUAAGUACCCCGAGGAAAAGAAAUCAACCGAGAUUCCCCCAGUAGCGGCGAGCGAACGGGGAGCAGCCCAGAGUCUGAAUCAGCUUGUGUGUUAGUGGAACGGUCUGGAAAGUCCGACGGUACAGGGUGAUAGUCCCGUACACCAAAAUGCACAGGCUGUGAACUCGAAGAGUAGGGCGGGACACGUGGUAUCCUGUCUGAAUAUGGGGGGACCAUCCUCCAAGGCUAAAUACUCCUGACUGACCGAUAGUGAACCAGUACCGUGAGGGAAAGGCGAAAAGAACCCCGGCGAGGGGAGUGAAAAAGAACCUGAAACCGUGUACGUACAAGCAGUGGGAGCACCUUCGGGUGUGACUGCGUACCUUUUGUAUAAUGGGUCAGCGACUUAUAUUCUGUAGCAAGGUUAACCGUAUAGGGGAGCCGCAGGGAAACCGAGUCUUAACUGGGCGUUAAGUUGCAGGGUAUAGACCCGAAACCCGGUGAUCUAGCCAUGGGCAGGUUGAAGGUUGGGUAACACUAACUGGAGGACCGAACCGACUAAUGUUGAAAAAUUAGCGGAUGACUUGUGGCUGGGGGUGAAAGGCCAAUCAAACCGGGAGAUAGCUGGUUCUCCCCGAAAGCUAUUUAGGUAGCGCCUCGUGAAUUCAUCUUCGGGGGUAGAGCACUGUUUCGGCUAGGGGGUCAUCCCGACUUACCAACCCGAUGCAAACUACGAAUACCGAAGAAUGUUAUCACGGGAGACACACGGCGGGUGCUAACGUCCGUCGUGAAGAGGGAAACAACCCAGACCGCCAGCUAAGGUCCCAAAGUCAUGGUUAAGUGGGAAACGAUGUGGGAAGGCACAGACAGCCAGGAUGUUGGCUUAGAAGCAGCCAUCAUUUAAAGAAAGCGUAAUAGCUCACUGGUCGAGUCGGCCUGCGCGGAAGAUGUAACGGGGCUAAACCAUGCACCGAAGCUGCGGCAGCGACACUAUGUGUUGUUGGGUAGGGGAGCGUUCUGUAAGCCUGCGAAGGUGUGCUGUGAGGCAUGCUGGAGGUAUCAGAAGUGCGAAUGCUGACAUAAGUAACGAUAAAGCGGGUGAAAAGCCCGCUCGCCGGAAGACCAAGGGUUCCUGUCCAACGUUAAUCGGGGCAGGGUGAGUCGACCCCUAAGGCGAGGCCGAAAGGCGUAGUCGAUGGGAAACAGGUUAAUAUUCCUGUACUUGGUGUUACUGCGAAGGGGGGACGGAGAAGGCUAUGUUAGCCGGGCGACGGUUGUCCCGGUUUAAGCAUGUAGGCUGAUUGUCCAGGCAAAUCCGGAUAAUCAAGGCUGAGGUGUGAUGACGAGGCACUACGGUGCUGAAGUAACAAAUGCCCUGCUUCCAGGAAAAGCCUCUAAGCAUCAGGUAACAUUAAAUCGUACCCCAAACCGACACAGGUGGUCAGGUAGAGAAUACCAAGGCGCUUGAGAGAACUCGGGUGAAGGAACUAGGCAAAAUGGUGCCGUAACUUCGGGAGAAGGCACGCUGGUGUGUAGGUGAAGUCCCUGCGGAUGGAGCUGAGACCAGUCGAAGAUACCAGCUGGCUGCAACUGUUUAUUAAAAACACAGCACUGUGCAAACACGAAAGUGGACGUAUACGGUGUGACGCCUGCCCGGUGCCGGAAGGUUAAUUGAUGGGGUUAUCCGUAAGGAGAAGCUCUUGAUCGAAGCCCCGGUAAACGGCGGCCGUAACUAUAACGGUCCUAAGGUAGCGAAAUUCCUUGUCGGGUAAGUUCCGACCUGCACGAAUGGCGUAAUGAUGGCCAGGCUGUCUCCACCCGAGACUCAGUGAAAUUGAACUCGCUGUGAAGAUGCAGUGUACCCGCGGCAAGACGGAAAGACCCCGUGAACCUUUACUAUAGCUUGACACUGAACAUUGAGCCUUGAUGUGUAGGAUAGGUGGGAGGCUUUGAAGCGUGGACGCCAGUCUGCGUGGAGCCAACCUUGAAAUACCACCCUUUAAUGUUUGAUGUUCUAACGUUGGCCCCUUACCGGGGUUGCGGACAGUGUCUGGUGGGUAGUUUGACUGGGGCGGUCUCCUCCCAAAGCGUAACGGAGGAGCACGAAGGUUAGCUAAUCCUGGUCGGACAUCAGGAGGUUAGUGCAAUGGCAUAAGCUAGCUUGACUGCGAGCGUGACGGCGCGAGCAGGUGCGAAAGCAGGUCAUAGUGAUCCGGUGGUUCUGAAUGGAAGGGCCAUCGCUCAACGGAUAAAAGGUACUCCGGGGAUAACAGGCUGAUACCGCCCAAGAGUUCAUAUCGACGGCGGUGUUUGGCACCUCGAUGUCGGCUCAUCACAUCCUGGGGCUGAAGUAGGUCCCAAGGGUAUGGCUGUUCGCCAUUUAAAGUGGUACGCGAGCUGGGUUUAGAACGUCGUGAGACAGUUCGGUCCCUAUCUGCCGUGGGCGCUGGAGAAUUGAGGGGGGCUGCUCCUAGUACGAGAGGACCGGAGUGGACGCAUCACUGGUGUUCGGGUUGUCAUGCCAAUGGCACUGCCCGGUAGCUAAAUGCGGAAGAGAUAAGUGCUGAAAGCAUCUAAGCACGAAACUUGCCCCGAGAUGAGUUCUCCCUGAGACUUUAAGUCUCCUGAAGGAACGUUGAAGACGAUGACGUUGAUAGGCCGGGUGUGUAAGCGCAGCGAUGCGUUGAGCUAACCGGUACUAAUGAACCGUGAGGCUUAACCUU
RNAcentral lists this ribosomal RNA (2902 nucleotides) under Klebsiella pneumoniae. RNAcentral's name for it is "23S ribosomal RNA". It matches the Rfam family "Bacterial large subunit ribosomal RNA". Lineage: Bacteria; Pseudomonadati; Pseudomonadota; Gammaproteobacteria; Enterobacterales; Enterobacteriaceae. The record is from RNAcentral.